GACGAACGCUGGCGGCGUGCUUAACACAUGCAAGUCGAACGGAAAGGCCCUGCUUUUGUGGGGUGCUCGAGUGGCGAACGGGUGAGUAACACGUGAGUAACCUGCCCUUGACUUUGGGAUAACUUCAGGAAACUGGGGCUAAUACCGGGUAGGAGCUCCUGCUGCAUGGUGGGGGUUGGAAAGUUUCGGCGGUUGGGGAUGGACUCGCGGCUUAUCAGCUUGUUGGUGGGGUAGUGGCUUUCCAAGGCUUUGACGGGUAGCCGGCCUGAGAGGGUGACCGGCCACAUUGGGACUGAGAUACGGCCCAGACUCCUACGGGAGGCAGAAGUGGGGAAUAUUGCACAAUGGGCGGAAGCCUGAUGCAGCAACGCCGCGUGCGGGAUGACGGCCUUCGGGUUGUAAACCGCUUUCGCCUGUGACGAAGCGUGAGUGACGGUAAUGGGUAAAGAAGCACCGGCUAACUACGUG
Molecule: ribosomal RNA, 468 nt
Filed under: uncultured bacterium
Lineage: Bacteria
Description: partial 16S ribosomal RNA
Rfam family: Bacterial small subunit ribosomal RNA
Source: RNAcentral